AGUUGGACCCAAUUUUGUUUGGUAAUGACUAUAACCUAAUCUCAUUAGCUUUUUUAUUAUCUCUUUGCUAUACACGUCCUUAAUUACACAGUUGGAGAUUGCAAAAUCAAUUGAUAGAUACGUUAAAUAGUUUGGGUGAUUACAUCUAUUUCAUUAUAAAUUAGAGAGUCAUUUAGUAGUAAAUAAAACACUGGUGAUAACUUUUUAGACCAUGACAACUAAUUUGAACAUGAUGAUGAACAACAAGACUUAAGGUCAAUACAAUAUCUGUCGGCUCUUGAAUUUAAACCCAAGCGGGGGGUAAAGAUAUUUGAUUAACUGGAUGAUCACUUACUUGAUUCAUCGGUUAAAAUUGCUUGUUGGCUCAUAGACUGAAUCUUUAUCAUUGUCUGCUUAUUGUAAUUCUGGUUAUGGAGGCUUGUUAAACUGGAAGUGGAAUUCUUUGUUUUAAGCUAGCCUUCCUAUACAAUGUACUUUUAAGCACCGAAGAAAACACUAGCUUGGUUUUUGGGUCUCUGAUAGUAAUUUGCGUGUUGUAGACACUGAAAAGUAUCCAAGUUUGUGCCUGAUAAAAUAUCACUCUGGGAAAUUCUUUACCAUACAAGAAAAAUCCCAUCACUUUGGUAUUCUUUAAAGAUUUUAAUUAGUCAUUCAACAUCUAAGAUCUUUCAUUUUUGUCCAUGUUUGGUGUUCUAUACAUUUCUCAUGAGAGGCAUUUUUAUUCCUCUCCUCUGCUUGGUUGUAAAUAAUUGCAGUAAUCCUGACGUGAUGGAUGUUCUUAGUUUGUGGUAUUGAUUGAGUCCAAAAUAAUAACUUUAUUUCAUUUUUUAUACUUUGUUAAGAAAAAUUUCUGUGGCCUGGAAUUGGCA
Molecule: unclassified non-coding RNA, 869 nt
Filed under: Hevea brasiliensis (rubber tree)
Lineage: Eukaryota; Viridiplantae; Streptophyta; Magnoliopsida; Malpighiales; Euphorbiaceae
Source: RNAcentral